RNAcentral lists this ribosomal RNA (253 nucleotides) under uncultured bacterium. RNAcentral's name for it is "partial 16S ribosomal RNA". It matches the Rfam family "Bacterial small subunit ribosomal RNA", at positions 524 to 776 of the family's 1533-position model. The record is from RNAcentral.
UACGGGGGGGGCAAGCGUUGUUCGGAAUUACUGGGCGUAAAGGGCUCGUAGGUGGCCAACUAAGUCAGACGUGAAAUCCCUCGGCUUAACCGGGGAACUGCGUCUGAUACUGGAUGGCUAGAGUUUGGGAGAGGGAUGCGGAAUUCCAGGUGUAGCGGUGAAAUGCGUAGAUAUCUGGAGGAACACCGGUGGCGAAGGCGGCAUCCUGGACCAACACUGACACUGAAAAGCGAAAGCCAGGGGAGCAAACGGG